RNAcentral lists this long non-coding RNA (5018 nucleotides) under Lactuca sativa (garden lettuce). Its description in RNAcentral is "long non-coding RNA (LSAT_LNC000318)". Lineage: Eukaryota; Viridiplantae; Streptophyta; Magnoliopsida; Asterales; Asteraceae. The record is from RNAcentral.
UGUUAAUGACCCAUUUUAUAAUGGGUCAGUGUGUAUAACUAGUUUCUCAGCACUAUAGGAUCAAGAGCAUCUUUGGUACUUAGACAGUGGUUGCUCAAGACAUAAGACAGGAUCCAAGUCUCUCCUGGAAGACUAUGUCAAGAAAAGUGGCCCUGUAGUUACAUCAAAGACAAUGUUUAGAAGGGCAAGGUUGUUCUAGAACAUGUCAAGACUUCAGAUCAACUAGCUGAUUUUUUCACCAAGGCCCUGGAUACUCAAACUACUGCUCACAUUAUUGGAGAACUUGGAAUGAUCACUCUGGAUUAAAAAAUGUUUUUCUAAUGUUUGCUAUUGUCUUAUAAACUAAUGUAUUUUUUUGCUGAUGAUGAUGUGCUGAUGAUGUUUACCAUGCUGAGUACAUUGUAUGAUCUCUUAUCUCUAUCUUUUCUACAAAUCUUCUAAACUAAAGUUGAAUGAUUCACUGUAUUAAACCAUACACUGAUAACAACUUGAAACUCUUUGCCGAUGGUUAGACCAAAACACCAAGGUCUAUCACACGCAACUAUCCCUUCUUACCAAUCUUACACUGAUUCUGUGAUUCAGUGUGACAAAACACAUGCUGAUGAGAGUCUAACAGUCUUUGCCGAUGGUUAGACCAAAACACCAAGGUCUAUCACACGCAACUAUCCCUUCUUCCCAGUCUUACACUGAUUCUGUGAUUCAGUGUGACAAAACACAAGCUGAUGAGAGUCUAACAGUCUUUGCCGAUGGUUAGACCAAAACACUAAGGUCUAUCACACGCAAAAAUCCUCUAUUCACCUUCUUCUCACUCAGUGUCUAAUGAUUCAGUAAGAAGCACCACUCACUGAUAAAGACUCAACACUCUGUGCCGAUGGUUAGAUAAUUAAACCAAUAUCUAUCACACGCACCAACCACCUUGCUAACCUUAAACAAGCAAGUUGUACCUUGAAUUGACGACAGACUAUCUUUCAGCAUGUAACUUUUCGUGACACUGAUCUCAGCGCUUCCGCAGACACUGAAUAUCAUUUCCUCUUCAACGACACUAAUGCUGAAAUACAAGCUGAUCCUAGUCAAGAAGGUGGCCAUACCUCUCCUCAACUUUCUCACCAUACCAUUUCAGUCACUGAAAGGAUUCGUUUAGCUCAUGGGGAGCCAUCUGCUCAGGGGGAGCAACCAUCUCAAGGGAUGCCACCAUCUCAGGGGGAGCAACCUUCUCAGGGGGAGCAGCAUCGAUCACAAGAAAUUACAGGCACUCAGCUCAUUCAAAUACCGGCCUUAGCGUUUAAUGAGCUUCUUAUACUGACUAGAGACAUGAGUCAGCGUCUUCUGCGUAUUGAGGCUGAUGUCAACCAACUGAAGAGAGUUCUUCUGUCAACUCCUUCCCCUGGCCCAAAUGAUGAUGAUGAUCAAAAAGGGGGAGAAUCUGAUUCUGUUGAGCCGGUUCAACAUCAGUUCAUCUCUGUUCCAGAACAUGGAAUGUUUUAUCUUGACAAGAACAGAAAAAUGUGUUUUCAGCGAACUGCAGAGAUUCCAAGGGCUCCAACAACUCAUCUCGUUGGCUUAAGACAAAUGUGCAUGAGCCACCAAGAUCUUUCUGGAGAAUUUCAUAUUCUAAUUGCUAUGGAAUUGCUGAAUAUAAGUCAGGAGCUGCUGGACAGUCCCUACUGGCCAGUAAAAGUAGAAGCUGAAGCUGAGUAUGAAGAAUUCUUGUCCAGAGGUGUUCUAAUCUAGUUGGUUUUGAACAUCAUCAUAUUGGGGGAGAUUAUAAGGUCAAACCUUGAAAUAUGAUGAUGUUUGAAACUAGUCUAUCAGCGUCAGCGCAUGACUCAGCAUCAGCAUCAACAUCAGCAUCUCAGUUGAUCAGUAUAUAUCUUUAUUCAGCACGUUGUAACAGUUUUUGUAUUUAUCUUGUUUCCAUAGUUAGCGUAAAUUAGUUAGCUGGCAUAUCCCUGAUUUAUAGGGAAUGUCUAGAAUAGUAGUAUAUAAUCUUUUGUAUCGGUUUGUGUUGCUUUAAGCCUUUCACAAACCCUAAUAGCCGCUUUGUGCAUACGAUAAUCUCUUUGUGAGAUUAUCAUUCUUAGUGAAAGUUUUUCUUUGUGAAUCUUUAUUUUUCUUAUUUAUGAUCAUUGUUUGAUAAGUUGUUUGAUAUUUGGGUCGUUCAAUUAAUUUCACAUAGAAAAACUUUCACUAAGAAUGAUAAUCUCACCAAGAGAUUAUCGUGUGCACAAAGUGGCUAUUAGGGUUUGUGAAAGGCUUAAAGCAACACAAACCGAUACAAAAGAUUAUAUACUACUAUUCUAGACAUUCCCUAUAAAUCAGGGAUAUGCCAGCUAACUAAUUUACGCUAACUAUGCAAACAAGACAAAUACAAAAACUGUUACAACGUGCUGAAUAAAGAUAUAUACUAAUCAACUGAGAUGCUGAUGUUGAUGUUGAUGCUGANUUGCCGAUGGUUAGACCAAAACACCAAGGUCUAUCACACGCAACUAUCCCUUCUUACCAAUCUUACACUGAUUCUGUGAUUCAGUGUGACAAAACACAUGCUGAUGAGAGUCUAACAGUCUUUGCCGAUGGUUAGACCAAAACACCAAUGUCUAUCACACGCAACUAUCCCUUCUUACCAGUCUUACACUGAUUCUGUGAUUCAGUGUGACAAAACACAUGUUGAUGAGAGUCUAACAGUCUUUGCCGAUGGUUAGACCAAAACACUAAGGUCUAUCACACGCAAAAAUCCUCUAUUCACCUUCUUCUCACUCAGUGUCUAAUGAUUCAGUAAGAAGCACCACUCACUGAUAAACACUCAACACUCUGUGCCGAUGGUUAGAUAAUUAAACCAAUAUCUAUCACACGCACCAACCACCUUGCUAACCUUAAACAAGCAAGUUGUACCUUGAAUUGACGACAGACUAUCUUUCAGCACGUAACUUUUCGUGACACUGAUCUCAACGCUUCCACAGACACUGAAUAUCAUUUCCUCUUUAACGACACUAAUGCUGAAAUACAAGCUGAUCCUAGUCAAGAAGGUGGCCAUACCUCUCCUCAACUUUCUCACCAUACCAUUUCAGUCACUGAAAGGAUUCGUUUAGCUCAUGGGGAGCCAUCUGCUUAGGGGGAGCAACCAUCUCAAGGGAUGCCACCAUCUCAGGGGGAGCAGCAUCGAUCACAAGAAAUUCUAGGCACUCAGCUCAUUCAAAUACCGGCCUUAGCGUUUAAUGAGCUUCUUAUACUGACUAGAGACAUGAGUCAGCGUCUUCUGCGUAUUGAGGCUGAUGUCAACCAACUGAAGAGAGUUCUUCUGUCAACUCCUUCCCCUGGCCCAAAUGAUGAUGAUGAUCAAAAAGGGGGAGAAUCUGAUUCUGUUGAGCCGGUUCAACAUCAGUUCAUCUCUGUUCCAGAACAUGGAAUGUUUUAUCUUGACAAGAACAGAAAAAUGUGUUUUCAGCGAACUGCAGAGAUUCCAAGGGCUCCAACAACUCAUCUCGUUGGCUUAGGACAAAUGUGCAUGAGCCACCAAGAUCUUUCUGGAGAAUUUCAUAUUGUAAUUGCUAUGGAAUUGCUGAAUAGAAGACAGGAGCUGCUGGACAGUCCUUACUGGCUAGUAAAAGUAGAAGCUGAAGCUAAGUAUGAAGAAUUCUUGUCCAGAGGUGUUCUAAUCUAGUUGGUUUUGAACAUCAUCAUAUUGGGGGAGAUUAUAAGGUCAAACCUUGAAAUAUGAUGAUGUUUGAAACUAGUCUAUCAGCGUCAGCGCAUGACUCAGCAUCAGCAUCAACAUCAGCAUCUCAGUUGAUCAGUAUAUAUCUUUAUUCANAAUAGCCGCUUUGUGCACACGAUAAUAUCAUUCUUAGUGAAAGUUUUUCUUUGUGAAAUUAAUUGAACGACCCAAUGAUCAAACAACUUAUCAAACAAUGACUGUAAAUAAGAACAAUAAAGAUUCACAAAGAAAAACUUUCACUAAGAAUGAUAAUCUCACCAAGAGAUUAUGGUAUGCACAAAGCGGCUAUUAGGGUUUGUGAAAGGCUUAAAGCAACACAAACCGAUACAAAAGAUUAUAUACUACUAUUCUAGACAUUCCCUAUAAAUCAGGGAUAUGCCAGCUAACUAAUUUACGCUAACUAUGCAAACAAGACAAAUACAAAAACUGUUACAACGUGCUGAAUAAAGAUAUAUACUAAUCAACUGAGAUGCUGAUGUUGAUGUUGAUGCUGAGUCAUGCGCUGACGCUGAUAGACUAGUUUCAAACAUCAUCAUAUUUCAAGGUUUGAGACCAACUCCUCUCACUGAAAAUAUUAUCGCAUUUCCUAUCUCAAACGGAGUGUUUCAUGCUGUUCAUGAACAACUUGAACAAUAUCCUGAUUGUAGUGUUUCAGUACAUAAGUCAAAAUCUGAUACUGAUGUCAGCUCCUCAUCCAUCACUGAUUGUAGUUCUUCUGACACUGAAUUCUUUAGUAAUUCAAUGUUAAAUAAAAGAACUCAAAGUUCACUUGGUGAAUCUUUCAAAUAUAAAUAUGUUAAAUCUAAACAUCUGCUCACCAAGAAAAACUUUGGUACUAGAGUUUCUUACAGAUGUGGUGAUACCUCUCACAAGAUCAGUGAAUGCAUGUUUGAUAAAACAUCUUUAUGGGCUGACAACAUCAGAAUUAGAAAUGAAAAAUGGACUCUUAAAUCAAAUUCUUUGAACUGUCUUCCUAAAGAGUGUUAUAAUUUAUUGUCGAAUAACUUUGUGAAUGACCCAUUUUAUAAUGGGUCAGUGUGUUCUAACUAGUUUCUCAGCACUGUAGGGUCAAGAGCAUCUUUGGUACUUAGACAGUGGUUGCUCAAGACAUAUGACAGGAUCAAAGUCUCUCCUGGAAGACUAUGUCAAGAAAACUGGUCCUGCAGUGACAUCAGAGACAAUGUUGAGAAGGGCAAGGUUGUUCUAGAACAUGUCAAGACUUCAGAUCAACUAGCUGAUUUUUUCACCAAGGCCCUGGAUACUCAAACUACUGCUCACAUUAUUGGAGAACUUGGAAUGAUCACUC